AACUCAAAGGAAUUGACGGGGACCCGCACAAGCGGUGGAGCAUGUGGUUUAAUUCGAAGCAACGCGAAGAACCUUACCAGGUCUUGACAUCGAUCCGACGGGGGAGUAACGUCCCCUUCCCUUCGGGGCGGAGAAGACAGGUGGUGCAUGGUUGUCGUCAGCUCGUGUCGUGAGAUGUUGGGUUAAGUCCCGCAACGAGCGCAACCCUUAUUCUAAGUAGCCAGCGGUUCGGCCGGGAACUCUUGGGAGACUGCCAGGGAUAACCUGGAGGAAGGUGGGGAUGACGUCAAAUCAUCAUGCCCCUUAUGAUCUGGGCUACACACGUGCUACAAUGGCGUAAACAAAGAGAAGCAAGACCGCGAGGUGGAGCAAAUCUCAAAAAUAACGUCUCAGUUCGGACUGCAGGCUGCAACUCGCCUGCACGAAGCUGGAAUCGCUAGUAAUCGCGAAUCAGAAUGUCGCGGUGAAUACGUUCCCGGGUCUUGUACUCACCGCCCGUC
Molecule: ribosomal RNA, 500 nt
Filed under: uncultured bacterium
Lineage: Bacteria
Description: bacterial SSU rRNA
Rfam family: Bacterial small subunit ribosomal RNA
Source: RNAcentral